This is an RNA transcript of Cottoperca gobio, 4157 nucleotides long. It is a transcript of the gene named interferon regulatory factor 2 binding protein 1, with no coding region annotated. NCBI's taxonomy places the organism in Eukaryota, Metazoa, Chordata, Actinopteri, Perciformes, Bovichtidae. The record is from RefSeq and is a predicted model, not a curated record. The transcript is spliced from 3 exons.
UCCAGCGUCCGUCGGGGAAGCAGUUGACAGCGGCAGUCAAGAGCAGGCCGAAGUGGGUAAACAAAACAAACAUAUGAAAAAAGAGCGAAAACAACCCACCAGCUGGAUUUAAUUUUACAUCCGAAGGAUGUGUAACAUGGUUCUAAUGCGGCUUGAACCCCGUUAAAGUAGAAAAUCGUCAGCAAAGAGAGGGCGUGUACCUGUCAAAGCUAAAUAGGUUAACCUAGCUAACGUGUGCUAGCACUCGCUCAGGUUAGCUAGCUAGUUGGCCAGCCAUGUCGUCCCCCUCCUCCUCCCGGCGCCAGUGGUGCUACCUGUGCGACCUGCCAAAGAUGCCGUGGACUGUGGUGUGGGACUUCAGCGAAGUCGUUUGCCGCGGCUGCGUGAACUACGAAGGAGCUAAUCAGAUUGAGUUUCUUAUAGCGAGUGCCCGACAGCUGAAACGAACUCAUGGGAUGCAGGAUGGUAACGUCAGGUCACCUGGUCCCUCACCCAAUAAACACGGCACAUCUGGCAGAGGAGAUGCGGACGGAGGCAGGCUGCACAUGGACCGCUUCGACAGGGGAGGAAGAGGAGAAAGUACCGUGUCAGCUAUUCGUGUGCCGCCAAACGGGCUGCACCGUGACGGCCAGCCACCUCAAGAAGUGAACCGUCAAAGCCCCAGCGGCAGCCGGAGACCCAUGCUAAGCGCUACCAUCCCUCCUAGUCUAGUAACUCAAAGUAUUGCAGGGAUUCCCCAUGGGCUACUUGCGGGCAUGCCGGCUGGUCUGACCGCUAGGACAGCCACUAUGAGCAACCCCAUGAUCUUCCCUGCCCCGGUGCUGGCCGAGAUGAGCCGCAGACAGCUGGGGAUAGGGAUGGGGAUAGCCCCUUUUAUCACUCCAGAGCUGGAGCGAGAGCUCAGUUCGUCCCAGAACCAGCCCAAGAAUCAGACACAGAUACACAAUGCUGUGGCAGGCAGCAGCGGCAGCAGGAGUACAGGACUCCCUUCUUCGUCCUCGACCCCGGCUGGAGGUGUGAGCCAGACCAGCCCCAAGCCUGCCUCAUCUCCAGCCAGGCAGCAACGCCCCCUAACUUCGAGGUCUGGAGGGGAGCCCCUGGGAUCCAGCACCUCAGCAGAGGCUGCCACAACAGCUGCAGCGUUACCCCACAGUGGUGCCUCUGAACUGGGAUCAGCAUCUGCCAGCAACACCCAUGCAACAGGAAACACUCUGUCCUGCACCUUGUGUCAUGAGAGGCUGGAAGACACACACUUUGUUCAGUGUCCAUCGGUGCCUGGGCAUAGGUUCUGCUUCCCCUGCACCAGAGUGUACAUCCAGAGCCGGCACGGCGAUGGGGAGGUUUACUGCCCCAGCGGAGAGCGCUGUCCGUUGGACAACUCUCCCAACAGUCCCCCUUGGGCCUUUAUGCAGGGAGAGGUCUCCACUAUACUGGGCUCUGCUGUAGCAGGAGCUGCAUCAGCUGCUGCAUCUGGAGCAGGGAACGGGCCCGGGCCUGGGCCUGGGCCUGGAGCUGGAGCUGCGUCCGGGGCCGGCAGUGGAGCUGCCAGUGGAGAUGUCACCGUCAAGAAAGAGAGAGAGACGUGAUGAGGAUUUCCAUGGUAACCAAGCCAGGACCUAAUUCAGCAACAGGCAGGUCCGCAUCAUCUGACCAUCGUAGUCUGAAGUCUGACAGCAUUAGUCGUACCGCACACCAGAAGGAGACGUCUGCAAUGGAGCUCUGAGAGAUCCAGAAGAGAAGCAACACGGCGACCCAAAGUUCAGAAAACUUCCAUUGCACAGGUCUUGACUCCAACGACUCACACCACCCAAUUCUAUCAACAUUAUCAGACGUAAUUGCCUUUAUGAUGUACUGUUGGAAUCAGAUAUUCAGGGCCAAUCAACCGCUGCUGAACACUGGCUACUUUUUAGGGUUAGUAGUAGUUGUGCCAGAUGAAACUGCUGAUCAUGCCCACAUUAGCACUGCCAGCUAGCGCCUGUUAGCAGCUGGAAAUAAACAGGCAGAGGCAACACAUAGACUCAACAGCUUUCAACAAGAUUGUCUCACUUUUCUACGAACAAAACUUCUUCCUGCAAAACUUACACCACCAUUGCAGUAAUGAUGCUAUACGUUUCAAAUAUUCACACCACAGCUUGAGUAUGCACCUUUAGAAACAACCAGUGCCAACAGGACUGCCCCAGUCACCAGUGUAGUCGUAUAUCAUUCUCAUUGGUGUUGUUUGCUAAAGGUAGCUAGCAUAGCUGCUAAUGGUAGCUUGUUAGCAGACCUCGUAUAGUGAUAUUUCUUGUUUUGAAUUACCGGUACCCUUAUCAAACUCACAGAAAGUAGCCAGGGUCCAGUGUCUAUGCUAACAGUACGAUCAGUAUUGAGUUUUCACAGCAAAGCACAAAAGCUUGUUUUGACAAAUCCAACAUAAAUGUUGAAAUGCUAAAACAGCGGCCGCGGUUGUUCCAUAUCUUUCUUGUCGAUGAACAGACUGUUGGCCGGCAGCAUGUUGCAGGAGGUCAGAUAUCAGACUGUUGGCUGUUCUGAGUCAAAACUAGUUGGAACUCGUCAUGCCAUUUUCUCUGCCAGUGCUUGGUCUAAAUAAAAUAUGUGUGUGUCUACAAAUGAAAAUUUACAUUAACAUCUGACAUGACAUUAACAGUUAUAAUGACAAAGUGUACCUUAAAUUUGAAAUGCAGAUGUAUUAUGUUUUGUUGUUUCAUGACUGAAUCUGUGUCCUGUCGCACAAUCAGACUCUUUUUCAAACAAAUAGAAAAACCUACAGCAUCUAAACAUGCAAACUGACAUGAGAUGUGGACUAAAUGCCAGUAGUGACAUUAUUCUGUGCGUCUGUCUGUGCUUUGUAUGUCCGCUUUAAAUAAAGCCAACUUUGACUCUGAGAAAAGAGUGUGUAGAAACAACCAGUUGAUCUGUCGAAGCAUAGACCAGCCACAGAGACUCUGUUUAACUGCAUUUCAUAGGAGAUCCAGCCCAGCCUACGCUUUACCCCGAAUGUAUAUGAAAGAUAUCUAUUGAUAGGCCUAGGACUAUAUUUUAUACUAGAAUGUUAAAUGUUAUAUACUGUAUAGAUCUAUAAUAGUUUGUGCAAUCCUUAGUCAUAGCAUAUGCAACAGUUUGUAAUAUGUAAUUAAAACGAUUUCUUGAACCUUUAGUUAUUUUUAAAGUGAGAAUCCACCUAAAAGCAGAAAUGUUCUUCUAUAAUCCUGAAAGGUUUAAUGUAGUUUAUGAAUUUCUCCCAAAAGUGGAGCCAAGACUUCUUAUCACCUGACACCUUUCUGGAAUAGAAGUAGAAGGUUUGAAAUCUUCAGCUUUGCAGACGGUGAAACAAACUUUAUUUUCCAUUCAUACUCAUUGACCCGGAUUUGGAUGGCCAUGCAUACUUUACACUUAAUCCAAACUUUAUUUGUCCGUUCCAAAAGAAUGUGCUGGGAUUUUUCCUGAAUUGAACAAUCCAACAUUUGUCACACGUUACGGAAAAAUGAUUGAAUGAUUUAUUUUGUGGAUUCUCUCUUUAUGUGCAGCAUGUACUCGACAGUACAGAAGCGCAGACAAACCAAAGGUAACUUUUUCCCAAAUUGAUGUUUCUUGAUGUAAAUGUUUUAUGGAAAAAAAAUCUCUAUAUAUUUCUUGGCCAGGUCUUAACCGGCUUUCUUCAUCAAGCCGUUACAGUUUACAGUUCCAUGUGGUCCACUGUACUAAUGGGAUGUUAUAUAUAUAGUAAAAGUCUAUAGUAUGCAGCAAAUACUUAUAUAGGCCUUCUAUAUAUUGAGAGUAUCCCACAGAUCAGGUGUGUUGUAGAAACAUGUAUUUGAAGAAGUGGAGUUUAAGUUUAAUAUGCACUGAUACGUCAUGCAAUCCCUUGUUAAGUGCCUUUAUAAAAUGUUUUAAUGUGUGUUUGUGUGUCUGGGAACCUCAGGGGAAGUAGGAGUGGAAUGGCUUUUUUAUUGUCUAGUCAAUGAUUAAGCUGUUUCCCUUCAAUUGCCAUCAGACGACUUUUGCUUUCAUCUGAAGUCAGGUCAGCCAUUCAUUGACUUGAUACAGUCUCCUCGCAUCUCUUCCUUUCAUUUAUGUGUCAUCUUUAGAUCUGUUUGGUUUUAUUGCAGCUUCUUGUACAAAAUAAAAACCAUGAAUAAAUGGGAUAGUAACUUGUA